AACGUUUAGAUAUAGCGUUGAGAGACCUGGUUUAGUGGGGUUAUGUUGGAGGUAGGUGGAUGGUUGGUCUGGGUGAUCUUGUAGGUCUUUUCCAACCUAGCUAAUUCUAUGAUUCUAUGAUUGUAUGUAAAUAAUACAGGAGGAAAAUGAUACAAGAAACUAAUUGUUCUCAGGAAAGUCUUGCAGGAGACAAAUAAAUAUGUGGUCUCAAAUAAACCUCUGAGUCUGGAUUCCCCAGUGGAUCCAUUCCAACCAGGAGAUUGGGUGUAUAUAAAAUCCUGGACUUUGGAACCACUGCAAGAGAAGUGGAAAUGACCCUUCCAAGUUCUACCGAUCACCUACACUGCAGUGAAACUGAAAGGAAAAGGACCCUGGCUCAGAUUAGGAAGGCACCUUCCACAUGGAAUGUUGAACAGACUUAUCUUGCUGUUGAAAGAUAAGAUAAUUAGGCAAGCAUAAUGUACAAAGUAACUUUGGUAGCAGGAAUUUGCUUUGUAGGUUGUGAAGGAUGGAAAAACAAUGUACAUUUACAAAUAGUGGGGAAUCUAGCUAAUGUAACUAAUUCCUCUGUUUGCUGCAUAUGUACCUAGGUAAUCUUAUGGGGAGAGAAUUGAACAAAUAAUGCAUGCCUUGGGAUAAAUCUACCAGGCAGAUCCACAUGGAGGAAAUGAAGUUCAUUUAGAUGACAGAAAGAGGUGUGUCUCUCAAUCAAGGAGUUAACGAAGCUCUGCUGAGUCUUUAUACCAAGGAAACAUGAGGUCCUGUUUGGAAUUGGUUAAUGAAUAUGUAGUAUACUGCUGGGAAACUUCUGCAUAUGUAACAUACUUCCUGGGAAAUUUCUGCAUAUAUAACACAAGUAAUGUAUAUAUACUGAAGAUCUUUUGUGUAAUCUGUGCGUGACUGGAGGAUUACCCCCAUGCAUCCAGUGCUGCUAUUAAAGAAUGUCUGCUUUCUAACGAUCCCA
Molecule: long non-coding RNA, 964 nt
Organism: Numida meleagris (helmeted guineafowl)
Lineage: Eukaryota; Metazoa; Chordata; Aves; Galliformes; Numididae
Exons: 2
Source: RefSeq, a predicted model, not a curated record